GCAUACGCCACCACUCUGCCAUCCUACAUCACGAUGAAGCGUAACCCUGUAUUUGAGGCAUCACUGUAAAUCACAUACUCACCCCCAACAACCGGCAAGGUGAGUAUUGGUGUGGUGGUGAGCCUCGUCUUCAGGUCCUCAAAACUCUUGUGCCAAGCCUUACUCCAUACAAAAGGCGUGUCCUUCUUAGUCAGCUUUUGGAGUUGUUCUGCUAUCUUGAGAACCCAUCUAUGAACUUCCU
This 241-nucleotide long non-coding RNA is filed under the name Linum usitatissimum (flax). RNAcentral's name for it is "long non-coding RNA (LUSI_LNC006422)". Lineage: Eukaryota; Viridiplantae; Streptophyta; Magnoliopsida; Malpighiales; Linaceae. The record is from RNAcentral.